This 618-nucleotide ribosomal RNA is filed under the name uncultured archaeon. Its description in RNAcentral is "bacterial SSU rRNA". It matches the Rfam family "Archaeal small subunit ribosomal RNA", at positions 52 to 671 of the family's 1478-position model. The record is from RNAcentral.
UGCAAGUUAAAUGUUUUUCGUAAACAUAGCGAACUGCUCAGUAACACGUGGACAACUUAACCUUAGGUCCAGCAUAACCCCGGGAAACUGGGGAUAAUUCUGGAUUAAGCCAAAGAUGCUGGAAUGCCCUUUGGCUAAAAGCUUUUGCGCCUAAGGAUAGGUCUGCGGUCUAUCAGGUUGUAGUGGGUGUAACGUACCUACUAGCCGACGACGGAUACGGGUUGUGAGAGCAAGAGCCCGGAGAUGGAUUCUGAGACACGAAUCCAGGCCCUACGGGGUGCAGCAGGCGCGAACACUUUACAAUGCGGGAAACCGCGAUAAGGGAACCCCGAGUGCCAGUACUAAGUGCUGGCUGUCUGGAUGAUUAGAAAUCAUUUAAUAGCAAGGGCCGGGCAAGACCGGUGCCAGCCGCCGCGGUAACACCGGCGGCCCGAGUGGUAACCGAUAUUAUUGGGUCUAAAGGGUCCGUAGCCUGUUUAAUAAGUCCUUUGGGAAAUCUGGCAGCUUAACUGUCAGGCUGCUAAAGGAUACUGUUAAACUUGGGACCGGGAGACCUAGGGGGUACUCCAGGGGUAGGAGUGAAAUCUUGUAAUCCCUGGGGGACCAUCUGUGGCGAAG